RNAcentral lists this long non-coding RNA (1214 nucleotides) under Pectinophora gossypiella (pink bollworm). RNAcentral describes it as "uncharacterized LOC126381152". Lineage: Eukaryota; Metazoa; Arthropoda; Insecta; Lepidoptera; Gelechiidae. The record is from RNAcentral.
UAUUUAGGUUUUGGAUCAAACAAGUCGAUCGAUUGUUGUCGUUGAUUCGGCGAAUUUAUGGUUUGGUAGAUUUUUUCUAGUUUGGCAACUUUGUUCGUGGUUCUUGUGUCAGACUGACAGCUGGCUGAGCUGAGAGACAGGUUAUGGAAAGUGGGGACGUCGCGAGAGCGCCGGAGACUCCACUGCCGUAACAAUAAUGUGGGCAAAUUAAAAGCCACGAUUUAUCGGCGACAUCAAGAGCCGAUGUCUCGAUUUAAACAAAUAACUUAACCGAGAUGCAACAUCACUGAAAUCCCAUCGCCGAAGGUCCAGUGGGUGGGUUUAGGUUUCAUCCGAGCGAUGCCCAACUAUCCCGGAUGAACCUAUGGGGUUUUUUUUUCUUUAAGUUUUAAUGUUUUAACGUUUUUGCAAGUUUAAUUUUCUAACGUUUUGCAAGUUUUAAUCUAAGAAGAAGUUUAUGAUUGGAUCAGACUAUUUCAACAAAUUUUGUGAAUGAAGAUUGCUACUGUUUUCUUCUGCGUUUGCAAGUUAUUUCAAGCUUCAUUUCGGCGGAGCUUGCCUUGGUUGUUUGCACGUCGAAGCUUCCCUUUGUGCGGCGCGCAUGUGGAUGUGCCGCGCCUCUCCUUUUGUCAACACACCGGAUAAGGCCCGGUGAAGGACUGCGAGGUUGACCGGUGGACGUGCAGUCCGCCAGCUGCGUAACAGUUGGCCCGCUGCGCCGCCAUCGUCCAGCACGCCUGGCCUGAGCCGGCCUCAACGCAUCACCUGUAUGGUAUUCCGGAACGCCUCAGGUAGGCCUGAUAGUCGGAGGUCCUCGAGUAAGUGAGGUGCCUACAGGUGUACGGACAGUGUUUUAAAUAUAGUGCUAUCUUAUGGUCAUGUCACAGAGAGACACUUUACCUAACGGCCCAUUUCUUUUUUAUGGAAUACCAUUAUAGCAAAGUUGUUUCAGUGGCGCCCUUCUUGGUGAAAUUGUCGCUCUGUACAACCAUUUUAGAAUAUAAGUGGUGUUGGCAUAAACUUUAAGAAUAAAUUUUGUGAAAACAGUGUAUUUUUUUUUUUAAUAUUAAAAGUGAUGGGAUUUUGUGUGAAUUGUUUGUGUUUUGUUUGCAUCUUAGGUUAAGUUGUGUUUGUCUUAGUAUAAGUAAGGUUCUAGGCCUCAUACAGAGACCUAACUUAAAUACUUUUUUUUUGUACAAUAAGUUUUAAACCCA